GCGAGUGAGCGGCAACAGCUCAAAUUUGAAAGCUAGCCUUCGGGUUCGCAUUGUAAUUUGUAGAGGAUGCUUUGGGUAAAACGCCAGUCUAAGUUCCUUGGAACAGGACGUCAUAGAGGGUGAGAAUCCCGUAUGUGACUGGAAAUGUUAACCUAUGUAAAGCUCCUUCGACGAGUCGAGUUGUUUGGGAAUGCAGCUCUAAAUGGGAGGUAAAUUUCUUCUAAAGCUAAAUAUUGGCGAGAGACCGAUAGCGCACAAGUAGAGUGAUCGAAAGAUGAAAAGCACUUUGGAAAGAGAGUUAAAAAGCACGUGAAAUUGUUGAAAGGGAAGCGCUUGCAAUCAGACUUGUUUAAACUGUUCGGCCGGUCUUCUGACCGGUUUACUCAGUUUGGACAGGCCAGCAUCAGUUUCGGCGGCCGGAUAAAGGCUCUGGGAAUGUGGCCUCCACUUCGGUGGAGGUGUUAUAGCCCAGUGUGUAAUACGGCCAGCCGGGACUGAGGUCCGCGCUUCGGCUAGGAUGCUGGCGUAAUGGUUGUAAGCGACCCGU
RNAcentral lists this ribosomal RNA (547 nucleotides) under Aureobasidium pullulans. RNAcentral describes it as "eukaryotic LSU rRNA". It matches the Rfam family "Eukaryotic large subunit ribosomal RNA", at positions 89 to 652 of the family's 3401-position model. Lineage: Eukaryota; Fungi; Ascomycota; Dothideomycetes; Dothideales; Saccotheciaceae. The record is from RNAcentral.